UACCUACGUGCCAGCAGUCGCGGUAAUACGUAGGGUGCGAGCGUUAAUCGGAAUUACUGGGCGUAAAGGGUGCGCAGGCGGUCUUGUAAGUCAGAUGUGAAAUCACCGGGCUUAACCUGGGAACUGCGUUUGCAGCUACAAGACUAGAAU
RNAcentral lists this ribosomal RNA (150 nucleotides) under uncultured Nitrosomonadaceae bacterium. RNAcentral describes it as "partial 16S ribosomal RNA". It matches the Rfam family "Bacterial small subunit ribosomal RNA", at positions 498 to 647 of the family's 1533-position model. Lineage: Bacteria; Pseudomonadati; Pseudomonadota; Betaproteobacteria; Nitrosomonadales; Nitrosomonadaceae. The record is from RNAcentral.